Leucobacter sp. Ag1 is the source of this 373-nucleotide non-coding RNA. It matches the Rfam family "transfer-messenger RNA". From Rfam's summary of the family: Bacterial tmRNA, also known as 10Sa RNA or SsrA, is named for its dual tRNA and mRNA-like properties. Its role is to liberate the mRNA from a stalled ribosome. NCBI's taxonomy places the organism in Bacteria, Bacillati, Actinomycetota, Actinomycetes, Micrococcales, Microbacteriaceae. The record is from Rfam.
GGGGCCGAUCGGUUUCGACACGUCGAUUUGAGACCGUGAGAAGCGGGCCGAGGACGCGGAGUUAUCUCGUAAACGCCCUUCGCAAACCAUAGGUGCCAACGCUAAGCGCACCGACUUCGCUCUCGCUGCCUAAGCAGUAAGACCGAGUCCGUCAGGUCGGGUGGGCCUCCGCCCCGGUUUCCUGGCGUCAUCUAGGGGGCUUGCUGAUGCGUCGCGUCUCAGGGCGCAUCGGGACUUUUUCUGAGACUGGGCCUGUCGUCCUAGCUGUUCGUGGCAAAGAACGGGGCCGAGUAGAACGCUUUCACGAACUACGCUCGUAGAAGGCACGGAAUCGUCGAAGUGGACCGGGGUUCGAUUCCCCGCGGCUCCACAG